AUAAAUUAUGGAAUAGUUAUAAAAAAUAAAGUAAAUUGGUUAUCAGAAGAUGUGCUAGCUUUGUUAUUAAACAGAAAAUGGGCUAGCUAUGUUAUUUAUUACUCUGGGCCUGGCAAAUUAACUUUGUUUGGCCCAGUUCCGUGUUCAUGAAGGAAACAUAAGGUCCACUAUUUUACAAAUGUGUGUCUAACUAUAUCUAUAAGCUACUAUUUAUACUAAAACCUUAUAGAGAAAGACCUCCAAAUUCCAAACCAAUUAAUCACGAAAUGCAGCAAAAGGUUUAAUUGACAAAUUUAUUAUGGAAAAAAGAAAUAAAAUAGAAUAAAGUUUGGAGAUAUAUAGAUAACACCAAGACAACAAACCAAACAUGAACUUCUGGCCCGUCAACAUUGAAAGCAUUUUGAUUAGAGUCUUCGUUCAUGAUUAGUAAAUUAAUGACAACAAAAUAUCAAAAUUAACAUGUCCAACAUGGUUUCCUUUAUCUCACAUUAACACGAUUAAACAAGUAACUCAAUGAAACACCGUUAAGGCUCGUCGAAGUACGAAAUUUAUUUAAAAGUAGAAGAGAAUGGACCUUUACAAUUGCUUGACUGUUUCCUUCAAAAUUCGAACAACAAUGAACCUCUGACCGGAGCCAGAACUGCUAAACGGAGACCUCACCGGUGAGAUCGAACUGUGACUUUGAACCCGACCAAAGCUAUAGAUGGAGACGUUUGAUUGGGAAGUAUCAGCUACAACAAAUGGGUUUCGGGUUGGUGUUUCAAUGGGUUUUAGGGCUGUUUUAUUGCGUUUUUGAGCUGGAGUUUCCAGUUGGUUUUUAUGGAGUUUCGAGAAAGGAAAGUGAAGUUUUGUGUGGAUGUACAGAUGGAGAAGAGCUGGCUUUAAUGGAAUUUUAUGGCUGUGCUUUUCAUGGUGUUCCCACAGUGAAGGUGAAAGCAAGUAAAGAAGAAAGGAAAGAGAGAUCUACUGUUGCUGCACGCGAGAAGAAGAAGAAGAAGGCACUACUUGGAUUUUAGUCCUCAAAUCGUUCUCUUUUCCCGGAUCUAUUUUCUCUUUUUUUCAUUUCCCCCUGUUUUUGUUUCCUCCCUCUAUCUCUAUUUCCCAGGUGCUCUCUCUGUUUUUUACGUCCUCCAAAUCUAUCCUUUCUCAACCUUUGUGCCCCUCCCCCCAAAGUUUGGAGAUAUAGAGAUAACACUAAGAUAGCAAACCAAACGCGAACCUCUGGCCCGUCAAUAUUGAAAGCAUUUUGAUUAGAGUCUUCGUUCAUGAUUAGCAAAUUAAUGACAACAAAAUAUCAAAAUUAACAUGUCCAACAUGGUUUCCUUCAUUUCACAUUAACACGAUUAAACAAGUAACUCAAUGAAACACCGUUAAGGCUCGUCGAAGUACAAAAUUUAUUUAAAAGUAGAAGAGAAUGGACCUUUACAAUUGCUUGACUGUUUCCUUCAAAAUUCGAACAAGAAUAAAUCUCUGACCGGAGCCGGAACCACUAAACGGAGACCUCAUCGGCGAGAUCGAACUGCGACCUUGAACCCGACCAAAGCUAUGGAUGAAGACAUUGGACUGGAAGUAUCAGCUACAACAAAUGGGUUUCGGGUUGGUGUUUCAAUUGAUUUUGGGGCUAUUUUAUUGCGUUUUUGAGCUGGAGUUUCCAGCAAAUUUUUAUGGAGUUUCGAGGAAGGAAAGUGAAGUUUUUUGUGGAUGUAAAGAUGGAGAAGAGCUGGCUUUAAUAGAGUUUUAUGGCUGUGCUUUUCAUGGUGUUCCCACAGUGAAGGUGGAAGCAAGUAAAGAAGAAGGGAAAGAGAGAUCUACUGUUGCUGCACGCGAGAAGAAGAAGAAGAAGGCACUGCUUGGAUUUUAGUCCUCAAAUCGUUCUCUUUUCCCGGAUCUAUUUACUUUUUUUUUUCAUUUCCCCCAUAUUUUUGUUUCCUCCCUCUAUCUCUAUUUUCCAGGUGCUCUCCUUGUUUUUUACGUCCUCCAGAUCUAUCCUUUCUCAACCUUUGUGCCCCCCUCCCUCCCAAAGUUUGGAGAUAUAGAGAUAACACCAAGACAACAAACCAAACGUGAACCUCUGGCCCGUCAACAUUGAAAGUAUUUUGAUUAGAGUCUUCGUUCAUGAUUUGCAAAUUAAUGGCAACAAAAUAUCAAAAUUAACAUGUCCAACAUGGUUUUUUUUAUCUCACAUUAAUACGAUUAAACAAGUAACUCAAUGAAACACCGUUAAGGCUCGUCGAAGUACGAAAUUUAUUUAAAAGUAGAAGAGAAUAGACCUUUAAAAUUGCUUGACUGUUUCCUUCAAAAUUCGAACAAGAAUGAACCUCUGACCGGAGCCGGAACCGCUAAACGGAGACCUCACCGGCGAGAUCGAACUGUGACUUUGAACCCGACCAAAGCUAUGGAUGGAGACGUUUGAUUGGGAAGUAUCAGCUACAACAAAUGGGUUUUAGGUUGGUGUUUCAAUGAAUUUUAGGGCUGUUUUAUUGCGUUUUUUAGCUGGAGUUUCCAGCUGAUUUUUAUGGAGUUUCGAAGAAGGAAAGUGAAGUUUUGUGUGGAUGUAAAGAUGGAGAAGAACUGGCUUUAAUGGAAUUUAUUGGCUGUGCUUUUCAUGGUGUUCCCAAAGUGAAGGUGAAAGCAAGUAAAGAAGAAAGAAAAGAGAGAUCUACUGUUGCUGCACGCGAGAAGAAGAAGAAGAAGGCACUACUUGGAUUUUAGUCCUCAAAUCGUUCUCUUUUCCCGGAUUUAUUUCCUCUUUUUUCCAUUUCCCCCUUGUUUUUGUUUUCUCCCUCUAUCUCUAUUUCCCAGGUGCUCUCUCUGUUAUUUACGUCGUCCAGAUCUAUCCUUUUUCAACCUUUGUGCCUCCCUCCCCCUUAGUGAAGGUCUGCUAGGUCUAAAAUAAUAGAGAGUGGGCGUGGAUUUUUUGACAAGGUAAAAGAGGGGGUCUG
Molecule: long non-coding RNA, 2942 nt
Filed under: Nicotiana tabacum (common tobacco)
Lineage: Eukaryota; Viridiplantae; Streptophyta; Magnoliopsida; Solanales; Solanaceae
Description: long non-coding RNA (NTAB_LNC003355)
Source: RNAcentral